This 2544-nucleotide long non-coding RNA is filed under the name Coffea arabica (coffee). Its description in RNAcentral is "long non-coding RNA (CARA_LNC007239)". Lineage: Eukaryota; Viridiplantae; Streptophyta; Magnoliopsida; Gentianales; Rubiaceae. The record is from RNAcentral.
UUUUUUUUUUUUUUUUUUGUGUGCAUGUAUCAGAACAAAGCACAACGGUGGCGAAGGCCGAUAUCCGCCAAGUCCCAUUUCCAGUGCCACGGCCAGGUCCUUGUGAACGGUUUACUUGUAACAUUCUUGCUGCUCUUUCUGGCUUCUGUGACAACAAUGACAAUUGCAUGUGCCUCGAAGCUUGUUAAUGGCGAUGGCACUGCAAAAUUUCCUUUCCCCAACUCGAAGAGGAGAAAGUUUUAAACCUUAAUUAAAUGUUAAAACUUUAUUUCAUACUUGAAGUGUCCCGAAUUAUGGAGCUGAAUUGAUCAUGGGUUUAAUGUGUAAUUUUAUUUGUACAUGACUUGUCAUUAAUUUCUCUAUUACAACUUUAAAAACAUGAAAAAUAAAUACUUUUCAGUUUUGUUCUCAUAGGCUAGCACAAAUUGCUAUCAAACUUGUUAUCAAUGCUAAAUGGGAAUCAACUGACAAGUGGUGCUUAGGGAAUAUGCACAGAAAGAUAAUAGCGCAGUGGACCUGUAAUCAACCUUGAACUUUUUCUAAGGCAAAAUGUAUAAUCAACCCAUGAUCUCAUCAUCUUGUAAUUUCUGGGCUUCAUCACCAUCAUACCUAAAAGCUCCGACCUUAGAGCUUCAAGAUCGACAGGAAGCAAUUAGUUGCAACUUGCAAAGUGUUCUCCAGCCCAAGGCAUAAAAACGAACACAAAAGGCCGAAAAAAAGAAGAAGAAAGAAACCCUUAUGAAUGUUAUUGUUAGGUUGGUAUUUGUGCUCGUCCUACACUGGUUUGUGCUUUGAUUGUUAUAUUUGAAGUUCAUCUUGAUUAGAAACUGCUAAUUCGACCUCUUUUCAAUUUUUGUAGGUAAAAUACCUGAUCAAGUAGGAAAUGGACUGAAAACGGGGAAGGACCAGAGAAAGUCAGGUGCCGGACAAGCCACCAGUCUUAGCGCUGAACAUUGUUGGGUCAAUAAUUAAAAUUGUUUCAAAGCAUGUUCGGGCCCAAACUUGGGGCUAGAUUUCGGGCCAGACAUUUUCUGGAGUUUUUUCAUAUUUUGGCUUAGACAGUGUCAUGGGCCUGACAUUGCGCUGGACAUUGGCGAAAACCUAUUCGAAUUCGACUUUUGACAAUUUUUCAAGACUUAAUCGUAUUGCAUAGUUUAGAGCACUAUAAGUAGGGGGUUGUUUAGAACGUUUUUAGGAGAGGAAAAAAUAUUAGGAAAACUUUAGUUCAUAUUUUUUAUAUUUUCUUCUGGAUCAAGACCAAGAUGAGGAAGAUAAUGAGCAAUCAACAGCUAAAAUUGAGAAGUUUUACUUUUAUCCUCACUCUUGUAUUUAUUUCUUGAAUUCUUAGUUUCAUUCAUGAUUAUUUUGAACUAAUUUAAUUCUAGGGUUAGGGUUUUAUGAAGGAGAUUGGUUAAUUAUUUCAAUUAAAUUCUUUAUAGACAAGCUUCUAGGGUUUGUAUGAAUUGAGAGGAUUAUAUAACAGGACACUAGAUACAUAAAUAUACUAAACCUAAAUACAAGAGUAAAUUAGUAUUUGUAUGAUGUAAUUAAAAUCACUUAAAAUUCUAAAGGGUUCAAUUGAAUAGUUGGGAUCUCAUGAGACAAAAAAUCGAAUUAGGUACAAUUUAGAUGUAUUGAUAGAUAAUAUAAAAUGCUUCUAUAUGAUAUGUUGUUGGAAAAUAUCUGGCUAAUUAAUUCUAACUCUGCAAAAAAUCCUACAAGCCCUAGUUUCUUGCCAAUUGUUUCUCCGGUCUCUUUUCUUUGACUUGAUUGUUUAAUUUAUUUCUUAGAUAAUGAUAAACAAAUCUUCUGAAUUCGAGUUCCAUUGUUUUCUAGAAAAACUAAAGUAAAAAAUUAACUCAUUUCUAUGGAUUCGACCUCUAGAAUACUCUAGAUGAUUUUAUAAUUACGAUUAGCUUGUACACUUGAAAAAAUUAUCAAUAAAUUGUACCCUAUAAAAAUAAACAAAACAAAAGAAAAAACAUCGUGAAUUUUGAUGCAAAACUUUUCUCCUAUUAGGUUUUUAUACAAUUUGGGAUUCUUUGGUAGGAUUGACUGAGUCAGUGCAAAAUAACAUCUUAGAUUUGAGAAAGCAUCCAUUUGCAACCAAAACAAGAUUUCCUUCUCUUUGUUGUAUUUAUUAACGUGUUUUUAAUGUAUUUAUCGCCACUAGUGAGACUAAAUGUGAUUAUUUUAUUUGUGAAAAAAAAAAUAUGCAUUUGGUGUAAACUAGCAACAAGGACCUUUCGUCCUUGUAUCAAUUAUCAAGCAUUCUCAAAGAAUUUAGAUUCCUAAGCAUUAGUGGAAAGUGAAUAGGUAAACAAUAGAUUUCCAUUGAACUUUCGGACAAGAAAUUUACAUCUUUGCUUCGAUGGACAUAAUACCCUUGAGGAUAUAGUCCUAAUGCCUAACUAACGCUAAUAUUAAGAUUCUUGAUAACACCACUUCUUGAGAAUGCCAAGAGAAAUUCUCUUGCCAUGAUUUUAACAUCGUGCCAUUGUUCAUUUGCUACAUAAAGAUAUCUAUUGUCCUAAUUAAUCGAAG